UAUUUGGCAUGCUAUGUACUUGCUCAAUGAGGUUACCGCUGACGAUGUAUUCGGCUUUAUCGAAUCUGCUAUCUCAAUUGCAUUAGUGGAGAGGCCAGACGAGUUUAGGGAAAGAAAAUUGAGAAUAGCACGACUUCUCUACGGUGAUGAUGAUGAUACUUCCAUUAACAGUGGUGAAGAAGCCGAUCUUGAAGGUAAAAAGGGUCAAAGUCAUUCGAUUCCAAAAAGUGAUAAAAAUACAAGUGUUGAUGAUGAAAGAAACCUCGCAACAUCAUUCGAAUUAAGUUGCCUAAAACAAGAAGCAACGUCGACGCAGCACCGGAGUCGGGAAAGAAGACAAUGAUUAACUUACAGCAUCAAAGAAAGAUUCAAGAACAACAAAGUUCUGAGAUAGACUUGAAAUUUGUAGAGAGUAAAAGAAAAUAGGAAGAAAGAUGUUAACAACUCGACAAAUCAAGAAGCAAGAUACAAAGUCUUGAGACCAAGAAUCUUCCUCGUCAAGAUGGGGAACCAAAGAAGAGACUACAGGUUUUGCAUUGCACAGGCCAAAAAACAAAGAGGCAAUCUGAUCCGCUUAAGCUUCUUCCAAAUUCCAAGUUCAGUUGUUAUAGCAAGCGUACGAGGCCCGGUACUACUUCUUGAAGACAUUAGAAAAUGGAAGUGAUAAGGUCUGUCUGAACAUAUAUUUUGAUGUAAUGUUGUAAAAGAACUACGUGCAGCUUGAUUCCUAAUUUGGGUACGUAGGCAGCCUAAACUUUAAAGGUUCCUGCUUUUAGUGAUGACAAUUUAUUUGUGCCUGAAAGUUGUAAUUGUAUAAAAUCUGUUACUCAGUUCUGUAAUUGUGAUUAUAGAUAUUUUACACAGUUUUUGUCGUAUAUAUGGAAUAUUUCCUUGUUAAUUAUAUUCAAUCAUAUCUCCAGUUUCACUAAUUAGAUUUUUCUGAUAUUUGUUGGUAAUCAAGAGUUUUGUAUUUAAUUAAUGUCUUUAUUUAGGGGUUGUUUUAGUUAAUUUUGCGUCAACAAGUCGUGUGGGUUCUUUUUAUUCAAUUAUUGGUCAAUAUUUGUUAUUAUCUUGGAAAUCGAUGAGUUUCGAUAUCUUUUCGUUACUGUUUAGUGUUUCUCAUUGCAUAACACGAAUAUACUUGUACAAAACCUGAUUCGUGCAGUAGAGUGAUAGGAAACAAGUGUGUUGAACCUCUAUUUUUUCAAGACUCGUUUUUAUAAAUUUUAAUUUCAAUCACACUUUCUUUUAUAAAAUAAUUUUACAAGUAAACUCAAAACUUUUUUAUUUCUCUUUUUUAACCAAAUAAUUUUUGAAAUUUAUUAUUUCAAAACACAUUUUCUCAAAAAAAAAAUUUAAUAAUAAUAAUAAUAAAUAAUAUAUAUAUAUAUUUCUUAGGAUAAUAUUAAUAGUCAAUAGACUAUUAAUAGUAAGUAACUUCAAUAAUUUUUUAUUUACAAUUUACUUAUUAUAAGACAUAUAACUAUAAAUUUAACAAAAAUACUCAUCGUUUCCAAAAUGGAAUGAUUGUAACUUAGCUAAAUAAUAUCUUGUUAAAAUAACACAUUUCCUAAUCUAACUAAAAUUAUCGUUAGGUUGUUGGGAGUUUAAAAAUUAUACUUAGAUGAGGCUACCAAAUAGUUUCACGUUGACUAAAAAUAUUCACAGCACAACUUUAAUUUACUAAUUAGAUUACAUUUUAAUUGUAUGAAAUAUUCAUAAUCGUUACACUUUAUCACAUUUAUGUCUCAAACUUCUUUUCAUAGCAUUCUUAUUCUCAAAUUAACAUAAAUUUUUCCUAAUUAUGAUUUCUCUUCAUUUUUUUUAAUAUAGUAAAAUAAAACUCAUUUACCCAUCGUAUUUUUAAAUGAGCAAAACAAAUAAUAAUACAUUAAUACAAUUAAAUAGUUGACCCUCAUUUUAAAGUACGUUAAUAAUAUUUUUGAUCGAAAAUCAUGAUUAAGGAUAAACUUUUUUUGAUCAAUAAAAUGUUAAACAUAAUAAUAUGAUAAUGAAGAAAGUUAAUGAUAAAAGUUUGAUACUAAUAAAAAUUAGUGACCUUUACUUAUUAGAAAAACAUAGUGUAAAUAUAACCACCCUUUCAUGUUACCUAAUUUGAUAAAUACUUUACUUUAAUGGAUUUCAUUCGUCAAUUUGUUUAGCCCCUAUUUGAUAGCCAUCUUUUAGAAAAAAAAAUUGAUAUUUUGAAGAGUAAUUCAUUGGAGAAUAUAUGGUUAAAAAGUAGGAAAAAAAUUUAAAUUUAUGUGCAAAAUAUUUUGUUAUGGGAAUGUGAGGUUGAAAAUGAGUAUGAGAAUUAGCUUCUGUCUGAUAAAAGUUGAUGAAAGGGUGACAUGGCUCACUGCAUUUUGAUUAGCUAGACGAUGUAUGAAUUGAGCUCACAUUCUCAACGUUAGUGUUUUUAAAGAUAUGAAUGAAAAAAGGAAUAUAUGUUGAGAAAUGUUUGGUUUUAUUUUAUUUUAAAGUAAAUCAUGUAUAUAUUAUAAGCAUCCAUCGUAUGCACGAUGUUUGUUUUACGUCACGUUCAUUCCAUGUUAUUCGUCCUCAUUUGUCAAAUGAUGAGAGUUAGGUGAUGCGACGCCACUACUUGAGGCGAGAUGGGCUAAUUAUAUUCUAAAUUAAUAAUUUGUACUUCUGAUAAAUCUCAUUGUUGUUAAUAAAUAAUUUCGGAUGAUGUAUUUUGUCUCAAAAAAUUGUUUAAAAUUUUAUUAUUUCGCAAGUUAUAAAAACACCUAAAGUUGUAAUUUAUGUAAUACAACUAAACUAUUUAGAGAAAAAUAACCUUGAAUAAUUUCCAUCCAUCUCAUCAUUGAAAUAAAAUAAUUCAGAGAGAAAAACCCGUGUAUGCACUGUGUGAAUGAGAUGUUAAAAUAGGCCCAUAUUCAAACAAUUAAACAAAGAGUUUGCAGUAGACAUAAUUAUGUUAUUGAACAUUAGAAUGAAACCAAAAUAAAUUAUUAAUCCAACCUUUAUGCAAGGAGCAGUACUUGAUCCAGAAAGUGAAGAAUGGAAAAAGUCAUCCAACAGCAAGGAGGCCUAACAAGUAAAUAAGGUAAAAACCUUGACUACUAAACAUAAGGGCAUUUUAUUAGGUAUGAUUUCGAUUAGUUCACUAUUGGACCCCUAAUGUAGUAUUAUUAAUUUAUUUAAGACUUAAAAUGGUCACAUUGAUUUAUUAAAUUUUCACUAUGUUGUCGGAUUGUGAUAUAUUUGAAUUNGAUGACGAUACUUCUAUUGACAGUGGUGAAGAAGCCGAUCUUGAAGAUAAAAAGGAUCGAAGUCAUUCGAUUCCAAAAAUUGAUGAGAAUACUAGUGUUGAUGAUGAAAGAAAUCCCCACAACAUUAUUCGAAUUAAGUUGCCUAAAACAAGAAGCAACAUCGAUGCAGCACCAGAGUCGGGAAAGAAGACAAGGGUUAACGUACAUCAUCAAAGAAAGAUUCAAGAACGACAAAUUUCUGAGAUGGACAUGAAAUUUGUAGAGAGUAAAAGAAAAUUAGAAGAAAGAUAUGAACAACUCGACAAAUCAAGAAGCAAGAUACAAAUUCUUGACACCAAGAAUCUUCCUCGUCAAGAUGUGGAACCAAAGAAGAGACUACAGGUUUUGCACUGCACAGGCCAAAAAACAAAGAGGCAAUCUGAUCUGUGUGCGCUUUUUCCAAAUUCCAAGUUCAGUUGUGAUAACAAGCGUACGAGGCCAGGUACUACUUCUUGGAGACAUUAGAAAAUCGAACUGAUAAGGUCUGUCUGAACAUAUAUUUUGAUGUAAUGUUGUAAAAGAACUACGUGCAGCUUGAUCCC
Molecule: long non-coding RNA, 3817 nt
Filed under: Olea europaea (common olive)
Lineage: Eukaryota; Viridiplantae; Streptophyta; Magnoliopsida; Lamiales; Oleaceae
Description: long non-coding RNA (OEUR_LNC004090)
Source: RNAcentral